AUUGAACGCUGGCGGAAUGCUUUACACAUGCAAGUCGAGCGGCAGCGCGGGGGCAACCCUGGCGGCGAGCGGCGAACGGGUGAGUAAUACAUCGGAACGUGUCCUUAAGUGGGGGGAUAGCUCGGCGAAAGCCGGAUUAAUACCGCAUAAGCUCUGAGGAGGAAAGCGGGGGCUCCGUAAGGACCUCGCGCUGUUGGAGCGGCCGAUGUCGGAUUAGCUAGUUGGUGGGGUAAAGGCCCACCAAGGCGACGAUCCGUAGCUGGUCUGAGAGGAUGAUCAGCCACACUGGAACUGAGACACGGUCCAGACUCCUACGGGAGGCAGCAGUGGGGAAUUUUGGACAAUGGGGGCGAACCCUGAUCCAGCCAUUCCGCGUGAGUG
RNAcentral lists this ribosomal RNA (381 nucleotides) under uncultured bacterium. Its description in RNAcentral is "bacterial SSU rRNA". It matches the Rfam family "Bacterial small subunit ribosomal RNA", at positions 29 to 407 of the family's 1533-position model. The record is from RNAcentral.